Molecule: long non-coding RNA, 471 nt
Filed under: Rattus norvegicus (Norway rat)
Lineage: Eukaryota; Metazoa; Chordata; Mammalia; Rodentia; Muridae
Description: long non-coding RNA NONRATT028743
Source: RNAcentral
AGAAUAUCUAUAUAAAGUCAGAAUCGCAUGAUAGUUAUUGCAAAGACAAAUGUUAAGGAUAUGGAACCUCUGUUCAUCUUUUAUCCGAUUCUGCUCUUUUUGGUUAAAGAGGUCCCCCAAAACAAGAAAAUUAAAGAUAACACGCCAAACGAAAUAAAGUUUGGAUCAAGGCAGGUUCAAGAGCUUUCAGAACUCUUACAAUGAAGUCUGUCAGCUGGCUCUCUCACUGCUACUCAGGAGUUCUAAACUCACUCUGUACAUAAAUCAAGGAACAGGAAAGCUCUCAACAAUACAAUGGAGUCAAGCCCACACUACAGACACGAGCAAAUUAAAUGAAGACGCUAUGACUUCCUGGUAUUUUUUUUUUUUUUUUUUGACCCUAAAAACUCACACUUGUUUUAAAACAUUAUCUAUAAAGCUCUAUAAUCUAGGAAGUGUGGCGACAAACCUCUAUUUCUCCAGAACAAAACC